UGUUGUAGCAUAUGGGAAGUAGUUUAUUUAAGCCACGCAACUGAAAACUUUACAACAUAAUCCAAAACUUAUACAAAAGGAGUAGCAACAAAAAAAAAAAAAACAAAAAGAG
Molecule: long non-coding RNA, 112 nt
Organism: Drosophila navojoa
Lineage: Eukaryota; Metazoa; Arthropoda; Insecta; Diptera; Drosophilidae
Source: RefSeq, a predicted model, not a curated record